This 405-nucleotide ribosomal RNA is filed under the name uncultured Glomeromycotina. RNAcentral's name for it is "SSU rRNA". It matches the Rfam family "Eukaryotic small subunit ribosomal RNA", at positions 690 to 1092 of the family's 1831-position model. Lineage: Eukaryota; Fungi; Glomeromycota. The record is from RNAcentral.
UGGUUUCUCCCUUCUGAAGAACCAUGAUGUCAUUAAUUUGGUGUUGUGGGGAAUCAGGACUGUUACUUUGAAAAAAUUAGAGUGUUUAAAGCAGGCUUAGGCUUGAAUACAUUAGCAUGGAAUAAUGAAAUAGGACGCUUUGAUCCUAUUUCGUUGGUUUCUAGGAUCGACGUAAUGAUUAAUAGGGAUAGUUGGGGGCAUUAGUAUUCAAUUGUCAGAGGUGAAAUUCUUGGAUUUAUUGAAGACUAACUACUGCGAAAGCAUUUGCCAAGGAUGUUUUCAUUAAUCAAGAACGAAAGUUAGGGGAUCGAAGACGAUCAGAUACCGUCGUAGUCUUAACCAUAAACUAUGCCGACUAGGGAUCGGAUGAUGUUAAUUUUUUAAUGACUCAUUCGGCGCCUUACG